Molecule: ribosomal RNA, 433 nt
Filed under: uncultured bacterium
Lineage: Bacteria
Description: partial 16S ribosomal RNA
Rfam family: Bacterial small subunit ribosomal RNA
Source: RNAcentral
AACGAACGCUGGCGGCAUGCCUAACACAUGCAAGUCGAACGAGACCUCCGGGCCUUGUGGCGCACGGGUGCGUAACGCGUGGGAACCUGCCCUUAGGUUAGGAAUAACUCCCCGAAAGGGGUGCUAAUACCGGAUAAUGUCUUCGGACCAAAGAUGUAUGGCCUUUGGAUGGGCCCGCGUUGGAUUAGCCAGUUGGUAGGGUAAAAGCCUAGCAAGGCGAGGAUCCAUAGCUGGUCUGGGAGGAUGAUCAGCAGCACUGGGGCUGAGACACGGCCCAGAAUGCUAGGGAAGGGCGGGGAGGGGGAUAUAGGGGGAGGGGGGGAAGUCCGGACCCGCCGUGCCGGGGAAGAGGUGAAGGGGUUAGUGUUGUAAAGCUGUUUUACACGGGAUGAUAAUGACGGUACCGGGAGAAUAAGCUCCGGCUAACUCCGUG